RNAcentral lists this ribosomal RNA (495 nucleotides) under uncultured bacterium. RNAcentral describes it as "partial 16S ribosomal RNA". It matches the Rfam family "Bacterial small subunit ribosomal RNA", at positions 28 to 507 of the family's 1533-position model. The record is from RNAcentral.
GAUGAACGCUGGCGGCGUGCCUAAUACAUGCAAGUAGAACGCUGAGGGAGGAGCUUUCUCUUCUGGAUGAGUUGCGAACGGGUGAGUAACACGUAGGUAACCUGCCUGUUAGCGGGGGAUAACUCUUGGAAACGAUAGCUAAUACCGCAUGACAACAGUUAAUGCAUGAUAACUGUUUAAAAGGUGCAACUGCUCCACUACCAGAUGGACCUUCGUUGUAUUAGCUAGUUGUUGAGGUAACGGCUCUCCAAGGCGGCGAUACAUAGUCGACCGGGGAGGGUGGUCAGCCAACCUGGGACUGGGACACGGCCCAGGCUGCUAGGGGGAGGAGCCGGAGGGAAACUUCGGGCAUGGGCGGAAAGCUGAACGAAGAACGCCGCGUGAGUGGAGAAGGGUUUCGGGUCGUAAAGCUCUGUUGUAAGGGAAGAAACAGUGUGAGAGUGGAAAGUUCACACUGUGACGGUAUCUUACCAGAAAGCGACGGCUAACUACGUG